This 26-nucleotide non-coding RNA is filed under the name Mus musculus (house mouse). The record is from RNAcentral. Lineage: Eukaryota; Metazoa; Chordata; Mammalia; Rodentia; Muridae.
UCACAGGAGCAAAUGGCACAGGCUGC